Molecule: ribosomal RNA, 439 nt
Filed under: uncultured bacterium
Lineage: Bacteria
Description: partial 16S ribosomal RNA
Rfam family: Bacterial small subunit ribosomal RNA
Source: RNAcentral
CUACGGGGGGCACCAGUAGGGAAUAUUGGACAAUGGGCGAAAGCCUGAUCCAGCAACACCGCGUGCACGAUGACGGCCUUCGGGUUGUAAAGUGCUUUUAGAGGAGAUGAGAAAGGACAGUAUCCUCUGAAUAAGCCUCGGCGAACUACGUGCCAGCAGCCGCGGUAAAACGUAGGAGGCAAGCGUUAUCCGGAUUUAUUGGGCGUAAAGCGCGUGCAGGCGGUCUAGCAAGUUGGAUGUGAAAGCUCCCGGCUCAACUGGGAGAGGUCGUUCAAUACUGUUAGACUAGAGAAUAGAGAGGGAGGUGGAAUUCCGGGUGUAGUGGUGAAAUGCGUAGAUAUCCGGAGGAACACCAGUGGCGAAAGCGGCCUCCUGGACUAUUUCUGACGCUAAGACGCGAAAGCUAGGGUAGCAAACGGGAUUAGAUACCCGCGUAGUC